GGAUUAGAUACCCUGGUAGUCCACGCCCUAAACGAUGAGAACUAGCCGUUGGGGGUAUUUGAAACCUUUAGUGGCGCAGCUAACGCGAUAAGUUCUCCGCCUGGGGAGUACGGCCGCAAGGUUAAAACUCAAAGGAAUUGACGGGGGCCCGCACAAGCGGUGGAGCAUGUGGUUUAAUUCGAUGCAACGCGAAGAACCUUACCUGCCCUUGACAUCUAGCGAACUUUCCAGAGAUGGAUUGGUGCCUUCGGGAACGCUAAGACAGGUGCUGCAUGGCUGUCGUCAGCUCGUGCCG
This 295-nucleotide ribosomal RNA is filed under the name uncultured bacterium. Its description in RNAcentral is "partial 16S ribosomal RNA". It matches the Rfam family "Bacterial small subunit ribosomal RNA", at positions 775 to 1067 of the family's 1533-position model. The record is from RNAcentral.